GGGCCCGCGGAGGAAAGAUAUUGGGGAGUGGGAGCCGCGGGGUUCGGAGCGAUGAUUCCCCCACAGGAGGCAUCCGCCCGACGGCGGGAGAUCGAGGACAAGCUGAAGCAGGAGGAGGAGACUCUGUCCUUCAUCCGAGACAGCCUGGAGAAGAGCGACCAGCUCACUAAGAACAUGGUGUCUAUCUUAUCAUCCUUUGAGAGCCGCCUUAUGAAGCUGGAGAACUCCAUCAUCCCUGUGCACAAGCAGACAGAGAAUCUGCAGCGGCUGCAGGAGAAUGUUGAGAAGACGCUGUCCUGCCUGGACCAUGUCAUCAGCUACUACCAUGUGGCCAGUGACACUGAGAAGAUCAUCAGAGAGGGCCCCACAGGUAGGCUGGAAGAGUACCUGGGAAGCAUGGCCAAGAUUCAGAAGGCAGUGGAGUAUUUCCAGGACAACAGCCCAGACAGCCCAGAACUCAACAAAGUGAAACUGCUCUUUGAGCGUGGGAAGGAGGCCCUGGAGUCCGAAUUCCGCAGCCUGAUGACGCGGCACAGUAAGGUCGUCUCGCCCGUGCUCAUCUUGGAUCUGAUCAGUGGUGACGAUGAUCUGGAGGCGCAGGAGGACGUGGCCCUGGAGCACCUGCCCGAGAGCGUGCUCCAGGAUGUCAUUCGCAUCUCCCGCUGGCUGGUGGAAUAUGGCCGCAACCAAGAUUUCAUGAACGUCUACUACCAGAUACGGUCCAGCCAGCUGGACCGCUCCAUCAAAGGACUGAAGGAGCAUUUCCAUAAGAGCAGUUCUUCCUCUGGGGUUCCCUACUCCCCUGCUAUCCCCAACAAGAGGAAAGACACACCUACUAAGAAGCCAGUCAAGCGGCCAGGUGAGCCCCCAUCCUGGCCCAUCUCUGCAACAGCCAGAGGCUGACUGGGACUGCACUGCUUUAGUCCAAUCUAGCGUUUGCAGCAUCAGACCCCUCCAGAGCUUGUCAUCAUGGUAACCCCAACUGUAGGUACACAGGACAGAAAGCAAGUGUCUACCCACCCAGUGAGGCCCCCCCCAGAGCAAGACUCUUCCUUCCAGCUAGCAGAGCCUGGGGGUUACACAGCUUCUUUGGAGUGGGGGAGUAACACAGGUGCUCAGUGAACCCCGCCUGAGGCAGAACCCCUGCCUAGGCCUCCUGCCUCACACACACAUCGCCCUGUCAGAAGGCCAGGCACACUGCUGCAGCCAGGAUGCUGGGAUAGCAAGGGGAUAGGUGCUCCAACCUUCACCUUCCAGAAAGGCAGGGUGACCUGAAGUGACAUGUAGCUGAGAGCUGGAUGGGGAGAAUUUCACUUUCCCAGUUGAUCUAGAAAGGAAAGAAACCCCAGAGCAUCCUCUCAGAAGAACUUAAACUGGCUUUGGGCUCCAGUGCGAGUGAGUGACUUGUGGAAAGGGGCACCAUGAUGAGAGGCCAGGGCCGGUGGGUGUCGCUGUCCUGGGUGAACAUCUUGUCAUCUGUCUGUUCUUUCUCCCCGGCAUCAUGUCCCUUAUAGUCUGUGCUCCAGGUAAACAGUGUCUCUGCCAGCCACAGCUUGGCAAGCCCGGCUGUGUCUGGCCACCGAGAGAUGCUGCCCGCAGCUCGAUGAUGUGCUGGGAUGUUCCGGGGUGGGGCUGCUGAGAUUGCUCUGAAAGAGAAAGCUGGAGAAGCCGGGGCUGCUCCCACCCAGGCUGGCCCCCUGUCCAGCUGCUGCUGUGGGCACAUGCCCUAGUUGUGGCCUGUGGCGCCUGAUUAUGACAACAAGCUUUGGGUAGAGCUUACUUACACCCUUGGUUUCUCCAGUCCCUGCCUGCCCGUGCGCCUCAGAGAGUGAGGUGUCUGCUCCACAAGAGUACCCGCUCCCCUGCAGGCCUUUGUUGAGGGUUUGGAGAUACAGGCAGAGCAGGGGCUGCCCUCAGGGAGUAGAGCAUUAGGGAGCUGGUGCCUGGGGCCUUCUCCCUCCAGUGUGGAAAUCCUGCCCACCAGCCAAAACCUGCUGCAAAUGGGGACUGCCAGCCCAGCCUGUGGGCGCAGCUGCCUGCACAGCGGAUGGAGCAGCUUUGUGCCUUCUGUGUGGUGGGGAGUGGCUGUCUCUAUGAGGCUGCGAGGAUGCUUGGGCCCCAGCCAGUCUGUGCUUGCUUCCUCUUCUGCCUGGUUCCCUGACAGGUCCCCCAGAAGCCCCAGAGCCCUAUUUGCACUGCCCUAAGAGUGCCCGCUGGCCAUGCAGCCACCUGGCCUUUCAGGCAGGAGGGAUCUGAUCUCAGGUAGCUCACAGUGGACCACAUCAUCCAUCCUUGGGCCAGAGACACAAGAGGAAAACUCCAGCUGUGGGGUUUCAGAGUUGUCAGGAACUGGUGGGCUCAGGACCGAUGUCAGGCUCUAGGGAGUCAGGCUCUGGGGAUGUCGGUUCCCACUUCUGAGGAGAGGGACAGGGAGGCCUCCCAGGUGGUGAAGCACCGACCUCAGCAUCCCUGGAGGUAAUUGGGAGCCUGACGGGUUUGGCGGCUGCUAGAUCCGCAUCUGCGACCCACAUCCUGCCGGCGUGCACCUGCGUCUGUGUCUGCUCCUGGUGGGUUGUGGGGCAGGAAUCAGAUUCACUCAUUAGUGAGCUGCACUCGCUGAAGGGGAGAGCGUGAGCAAGGCAGAUGUGAGCCAGGCCUUGGUUAUUAGGAGCUAAUUAUGGGCCAAGUGUGGCGGCUCACACUUGUAAUCCUAGCACUUCGGGAGGCUGAGUCAGGCAGAUCACCUGAGGUCAGGAGUUUGAGACCAGCCUGGCCAACAUGGUGAAACCCUGUCUCUACUAAAAAUAGAAAAAAAAUUAGUUGGGUGUGGUGACGUACCCUAUAAUCCCAGCUACCUGGGAGGCUGAGGCAGGAGAAUGGCUUGAACCCAGGAGGCAGAGGUUGCAGUGAGCCUAGGUCGUGCCACUGUACUCCAGCCUGGGCGACAGAGCGAGACUGUCUC
This 2962-nucleotide small RNA is filed under the name Pongo abelii (Sumatran orangutan). RNAcentral's name for it is "retained intron". The record is from RNAcentral. Lineage: Eukaryota; Metazoa; Chordata; Mammalia; Primates; Hominidae.